Molecule: ribosomal RNA, 465 nt
Filed under: uncultured bacterium
Lineage: Bacteria
Description: partial 16S ribosomal RNA
Rfam family: Bacterial small subunit ribosomal RNA
Source: RNAcentral
GAUGAACGCUGGCGGCGUGCUUAACACAUGCAAGUCGAACGGAAGGGCUCCUGCUUGCAGGGGUACUCGAGUGGCGAACGGGUGAGUAACACGUGGGUGAUCUGCCCUGCACUUCGGGAUAAGCCUGGGAAACUGGGUCUAAUACCGGAUAGGACGAUGGUUUGGAUGCCAUUGUGGAAAGUUUUUCGGUGUGGGAUGAGCUCGCGGCUUAUCAGCUUGUUGGUGGGGUAAUGGCCUACCAAGGCGUCGACGGGUAGCCGGCCUGAGAGGGUGUACGGCCACAUUGGGACUGAGAUACGGCCCAGACUCCUACGGGAGGCAGCAGUGGGGAAUAUUGCACAAUGGGCGCAAGCCUGAUGCAGCGACGCCGCGUGGGGGAUGACGGCCUUCGGGUUGUAAACUCCUUUCGCUAGGGACGAAGCGCAAGUGACGGUACCUGGAGAAGAAGCACCGGCUAACUACGUG